This 6352-nucleotide long non-coding RNA is filed under the name Panax ginseng (ginseng). RNAcentral's name for it is "long non-coding RNA (PGIN_LNC017797)". Lineage: Eukaryota; Viridiplantae; Streptophyta; Magnoliopsida; Apiales; Araliaceae. The record is from RNAcentral.
CAAAUAGUCAAAUUCUUGGCUGGUUAGUAGUAAUGAGGGUUAAUCAAUACAAAUAAAAAGCAAGUUGUUUUCUUCCUCUUUUGCUUCAGUUACCAUUCUAUUUCUCUCAUGAGCUACAUAAAUACCAAUGAGUUUAAGGCUACACCAAAUCAUAAUUAGAAUAGAAACAUAUCAAAAUGUUUAUGUUUUAUAUAUGCAUCUAUAACUAAUGACUGCCUUCUUAUGAUAAUUUCCAAGUCUGGAAAAAAAAAUGUGAUCUUAAUGUCUACCUACAUUAUCGAAAAAAUUUCUUGCUUGUCCCUUUUUCAAGCUUUUCAGGGGCAUUUUUGGGGCUGCUUCAUCCUUUUAUUACUUGGAAAUGGCUGGAAUAUCCAAGAACUUGAGCAAUAGUUCAAACACUUCAGAAAAUUCUAGUAAUUUUGUUGCAAAUGAACCACCAGUGAGGACUCCGGUAUCUAAGGGAAGACGCGGUCGUCCUUCAAAGAAGAGGGAAAAUGAAAAAACAAUAUUGUCAUGGUUAAUAGACUGCAAAAGAGUUCAAGAAAAUGCACUUGUUUGUUAUUUGGACAACAAUGCUAAAAUACCCUUAAAGGAAGGGAAAAUUACCAGGGCUGGCAUAUUAUGUGUUUGUUGCAUCCAGGUUUUGACAGCAGAGCAUUUCCAGGCUCAUGCCGGUUGGGAAAUUGGAAAGCCUUUUGAGAACAUUUUCAUCAUGGAGACGCGAAGUUCGCUCCUCUCCUGCAUGAAUGAAGCCUGGAAUCAACCUAGAGAAUCGGCACGCCACAAAUUCAACACAAUUGAGGGUGAAGGUGGUUCGAGUGACAUUUAUGAUGACGCGUGUAUGAUCUGUGCAGACGGGGGAGAAUUGAUGUGCUGUGACAAAUGCAAUUCAACUUACCAUCACCACUGUAUGGAUAUGGAGGUCAGUCUAUUUAUUUGCUUAAUUUUUAAGCAAUUACUUAAUUUGGUCCAAUUCGAUUAGAUUAUUACCAUAAAAAAUUUGUAAAUUCUUAAAUUUUGGUUUUUACAGGAGAUCCCUGAAAAUUCUUGGCUUUGCCCUUAUUGCGUUUGCAAAUUGUGUGGGGAUCCUGCUUGUGAGAACGAUUAUUUGCUCACGUGUUCUCAAUGCGAGAAGAGCUGUAUGUAGAUUGAUUUUCUAAUUCUUGAGUACUUGGUUUGGAAUUGAAGCAGGAAUGCACAAUUUUAUAGAAAAGAAUGCUAAUGCUGAAAUAAGUGUUAAAUGUUUUUGUUAUGUAGAUCAUUGGGAAUGCUAUCAGGAGAGAGAACCUAUACUCAUUGAUGUUAAUAGUCCUCCUUGUGCCCCCUUUUGUGAGCAAAGCUGCAAAGAGGUAUUUCUUCUAAGUUCUAACUUUUUAAGCUCUCCCAAUUCAGAGUCGUACUCUUUUAGUCCUGCAUUCUAGUCCUACAAACACAAUGACGCAUUAUAAAGAGUUGUAGUUUAAGGUCAUUUGUGCUCAGAAUAAAAUAAAAUAAGUUGUACCCAAUGCACAUUCUUUUUACUUUUAAGAAGGGGGAAUUUUUUGAAAUGACUAAACUGAUUGUUGUUUGUUAAGGUUUGUGAGAAACUAGAGAUGAUGGUUGGGGUGAAUAAUAAGCUAGAUGACAGAUACACUUGGACUUUACUAAAGCGAAUGGAUGAAGAGUACUCUGAUGAUGGAGUACAUGAUUUCUAUAAAAGAAUUGAAUGUCACUCAAAGCUAGCAAUAGCAUGGAGUGUUAUGAAGGACAGCUUCGAACCCAUCACUGAUCGACACACUAAGAUUGAUAUAAUACAGAGUAUAGUAUAUAAUUGCGGGUGAGUGCUAUAUCUAUUCUACUAUAAUUGAAAUAAAUCCAUUGAAAUAAUCUUUCUUCUAGCAUGGUAAUUUAAAAAAAGCAAGAAAUUUGCAGGUCAAACUAUACUCGGAUCAAUUUUAGAGGCUUUUACACUGCAGUAUUGGAAAAGGAUGGAGAAAUUAUCUCUGCAGCAUCCCUAAGGUAUAUUAAUCUAAUUUCACAUAUGUGUACAUAAAAAUAUUGUGUUUGUUGUAGCAAGUGUACCUGCAUAUUUGUCUUAUGCUGUUCUCUGAAUGCCCUUAAGAAUUCAUGGAAUGAAGCUGGCGGAGAUGCCAUUUAUUGCGACAAGGGAAAUCCAUAGGGGCAAGGGAAUGUGCCGAAAAUUGAUGUGUGCGAUUGAGUCGGUAAGUUCUGCUUGAAUCUUUGAAAGGAGUUUAAAUGAAUGCAACUCACACCUUAAUUUGUGGAAAGAGAUAGUAAGUAUGAAAUUAUGAAACUAUAAAACAUAUAUAAACUCUUGUCUUCCAAUGUCCUAAAAAGAGAAACAUACAGACUUUUCAACUUGUUCCAAAAUUUUGCAAAAUAUUGAAUUGACAAGAUAAAAGCAAGAGAUUAUGUUUUAUUCAAGGGAAUUAUGAGCAUCAGCAUUGAACUUGAAGUGCAUAUAAAAAGGUGGAAUUAUUUCAUUUUCUUGGUAAUGUAACUACUAUAAGCAUUCUUUUCCCCCCUAAAAUAAUCACCUACUAUCAUUGACUUGUGUUCCUCGUCUGCUAGACCUCUUUAUCUAUUCUAGCGGAACAAGUUCUGAUGAUGAGUGAUUUUUCAGGCUCUUAUCUUCCUCAAAGUUGAAUAUCUGAUCAUUCCAUCUGUGCGUCAGAAAGAGAAAAACUGGAAUCAGGGUUAUAAAUUUUGUCGCCUCAAGGCUACGGUAAAGAAAGAAAUUAUGUCCCACAACACCUUAAUGUUUCACGAUUCGGUGAGACUUCAAAAGACCUUGCAGCCACCUGAUCUCAGUCGAGGUUUUUUUUUCUCUCUCUCUCUCUCUGUGUAUAUAUAUAUAUAUAGACNNNNNNNNNNNNNNNNNNNNNNNNNNNNNNNNNNNNNNNNNNNNNNNNNNNNNNNNNNNNNNNNNNNNNNNNNNNNNNNNNNNNNNNNNNNNNNNNNNNNNNNNNNNNNNNNNNNNNNNNNNNNNNNNNNNNNNNNNNNNNNNNUGUGUGUUUGACAAGAUAUUUUCCGUCUGCAGCUAUGGAGGCAAGAGAGGUUGGGAACAACGUACCAGAAUUUGACUUGAACCUAGAACCCUAAAACGAUAGACAACAAUGAUAUGACAUCAAGCAAAAAGACUAGGUGCAACGAACUUGAUUCCAUGUGAUCAAGAGGCUUGUUUUCUGAAUCUUGGGUCUCUUAAACCAGGUAUUGUUGUUACAUGCAGGCAGAGCAGUUCAGAGUUCAGAUUUAGUGUUGUUGAUUAUGAUUAGCUAGGCCAUUUAUGAUAGGUUGCUUUAGCUUCAGUAUUUUUCUCAUAUUUGAUUUCUAGAUGCAAUUUAGAGGAAAAAGGAUGCAUGUAUGCUACUGAAAGGUUACUUGGUUUUGUUGUACUUAAUAUCUAUGAUUUUGUGUAACAAAAUCACCAGAGAUUUCUUCAUUUUGUAAUCUUAUAUGAAUUAUUUUGUCAUAUAUUUGUUAUGGAGUUUAAUCUCCGAUCGCUUAGUUUGUAUCAAAUUCAUUAGUCCUAAAGGCUGCCUACGUACAUAUUAUCGACACCUAGCUUAACAAUGCAUCUUUGGGAUCUAUAUGGAUCAUUAGUUUUUCAAAUUUUUAUUUAUUUAUUUAUUUAUUGUAAUAGAGACCGAACAUAUUGUUAGAAUAAAAAAUCCAGAUAAUUAGGGCUUGUUCUAUUCAAUCAGCUAGUCGUCACACAAUAAUGACACUAGAAUCCACAGGAUUCUUUGAAUAGACCUUAUCUAUCACCAAGAUGACAACAAUCUCUCUGUGAAUACAACACGUUGAGCCACUUUAUUCACUAGACCAGAAAUCACAUGUUAAUUAAGAGCAUCAGGAGGCACUUGCACGAGUUUUUUUGAUCUUCCACAGAGCAGAAGCUGAAGGUUUCUAGAUCUGCAAACCUGCCACUAGGUAAUUGUGCCACUAAACCUGAUUACGGAGAUAAAUUGCCCUGGCAGAGAUCAUACAGGUACUUCAAUCCCCCUAGCAGCCAGUGGGUUUCCACAGAAAGGUGCUUGGCGAUCAAUAUCAACCUAUAUUAAGAACUUCUUAUAAAAUUUUGUUUAUCAACUCUAAGAAUAAUUAUAUGAUUUAUGACUAUAUAUUUGUCACAACAAACUAUGGACAGAAAUCAACGAAGAAAAAUAAAUGACAAGAACACAAGAUUUAUGUAAAAACCCAAUCGGAAAAAAACCACGGGCGGGAGGCAGAGGAUAUUCAUGUGGAGAAUACAAACUGUGAAGAGAUAACACCCCAAAACCCCCAAUUGACCCAACUGUUUGCCUCACUAACACCUUUUUGUAAGUUUUUGGGGUAAGGAAUGCUAAGGAUUUUUAAGUAUGGAAAUGAUAGGAUAGGAAAGGACAGGAAAUUUACUUUCCUUAGUUCUGUUUGUAAGUUUACUAUGAUAGGGUUACCAAAUAUUGUAAUCACCGUCGUUGAUUAGCACGAAGCAAGAAAGUGUCAUUAUGCAUAGGAUAUGGAUGUCCAGAUUUAUUUUCCUAUGUUAAAUGUUAAGGGUGAUUUAGAAAUACAAAGAUAUUUAUUAAGCUCAAUUUCCAAUCCUUAGCUUUCCUAUGGUUUUACCUAGGAAAGUUUCCAAGAAAAAUUGGAUCUAAUUUUCUUUACCUUUCAAGAGCUUUCUUACUUAAAAAAAAAUAAUUACGAACAUGGGAUUUAUAAAGAAAAUUGUAAUUUUCUUUAGGUUUAAAGGUGGCUAAUUUUUAUUUUUUUUGAAUUAGAAUGAUCUGAAACCUUAUUGGCAUCACUCCUCCACUUCAACCACUAAGCCUCACUUUUCUUCUCCUUUAGGUCACUGAAAAAUAUUAUGCAGGUAUUAGUAAUGUCAGAUUCAAGACUAGAAUUCAAGAUGCGCAUAAAAAUAUUAGCUUUUCCUUCUUUAAGGACUUGAGUUCAUUUUCUUUUUAUCUACAUUUGUUUCAUUGAUGCAAAGAUUGACUACAUAAAUAAAUUGCACAUUAAGAAUGAAAGUUAUAGAAAUGUUAACUCACGGAUAAGGCCUCCCUAAUGACACCAGUAUCCAUUUUGUCCACUCCCGGAAAAGUGUUUGAGAUUGGAAAGUCAUUUGGACCCUCAUACAUUGACAAUGUUAUUACAAGAUGAGGUUGGUGGCCUUCCGAUUCUCAAGGAUGAGAAUCAUGGGUUGACAUUACUCCAGUUCCAAAUUCAUUUGUCAUCAAAAUUGGUGACACCGUAGAAGUACUAUCACUCUCACUCUCACUAUCUGAUCUCCCACUAUCACUCCCACUUAAUUACACUUUAGGGCCAUAAUAACAUCCUUACUAUCGCAGUGUGUCUAUCUCGCUUUUAUCAUGUGACAAGUACAUAUAAACUCUUGAAUCGUGUACAUUGUAAUAUUUCUUCAAUUUUUCCAAUUGAUUAAAUAAAACUAGUAUCAAGUACUCUCUCCAUUCCACUAGAUAGGUUUCUAAAACUACGACUUUCAAGGAACAAUUUAUUUUUCUAAACAUAUCCCCAACAUUAGAUAGAAAUGCAGUAUUGGUGGCAUUAUAAUACUCAAUACAUAGAAUAUUCAUAUCACUUAGUCUAAAAUUAAUGACUAUCUAUAAUGUAGAGCAUAAAAAAUGAAAAAGUAAUUGGGAGGGAGUAAUAGUGUAGGUGGUUCCUAAAAAUAUUAGCAAUAAUUUAACAGUUCAAAUCUCAUGCAUUUAACACUCCCUCCCUACCAAAAUAUAGGAUUAUUUAUUUUUUAAGUCAAAUUGAGAUAUUUUUAAAUCAAAAUUAAUAAAAUUCAUUUAAUUUUCUACAUUACAACUAUGAAAAUUAUGAACUACUUAAAAAGUACAACUAAACAACAUCAAAAUUUUAAGUUGAGAAUAUCUUAUAUUGACUUUUGAAAGUAAACAGAAGGAAUAUUUCUAUUUUGGGUGCAAAAACGGAGGGGAUAUAAUAUACAGAUUUAACACCAAUUCUACAUAUUCCUAAAUUUAUUAACAGUUCCUUCUAUUGCAUACAUAUUAUUAUAUCAUCAAGCCCUAGAUCUUUCAAUACAUAUACGUAUAUACAUAUGUUUUACUUAUAUACUUACAGAAAAUAACAUAUGAAUGUAUAAGAGUUGUAAUUGAGAGAUGAAAAUUUACCUUUGCGCACAAGCGGUAGGCUGAGGAGUGGUGUAUAAAGAUUAGAGACGACUAUUUGUAGCAAAUUUCAUGAGCUAUGAUCGAUUUCCCACAACAGCUGAUAAUGGAUAAGGACACCAAGCCUAGAGGAAAGCACCUUCCCGUUUUUUUAUGAGAGAUUUAGUAGAGAGAUGAUGUCUUAUUGUGAGUUUUUUUAUGAGAGAAAAUUA